This is a non-coding RNA of Oryza punctata, 227 nucleotides long. The record is from Rfam. Lineage: Eukaryota; Viridiplantae; Streptophyta; Magnoliopsida; Poales; Poaceae.
CCCGGGCGACUGUUUACCAAAAACACAGGUCUCCGCAAAAUCGUAAGAUCAUGUAUGGGGGCUGACGCCUGCCCAGCGCCGGAAGGUCAAGGAAGUUGGUGAACUGAUGAUAGGGAAGCCGGCAACCAAAGCCCCGGUGAACAGCGGCCGUAACUAUAACGGUCCUAAGGUAGCGAAAUUCCUUGUCAGGUAAGUUCCGACCCGCACGAAAGGCGUAACGAUCUGGG